This 190-nucleotide unclassified non-coding RNA is filed under the name soil metagenome. RNAcentral describes it as "partial internal transcribed spacer 1". The record is from RNAcentral.
CAGAGUUGCAAAACUCCCACAAACCAUCGCGAAUCUUACCCGUACGGUUGCCUCGGCGCUGGCGGUCCGGAAGGCCCUCGGGCCCCCCGGAUCCUCGGGUCUCCCGCUCGCGGGAGGCUGCCCGCCGGAGUGCCGAAACCAAACUCUUGGAUAAUUUUAUGUCUCUCUGAGUAAACUUUUAAAUAAGUCA